CAGUUUAUUAAUUUCAUGUCUUUCUCAGUUGUUGGAUUAGACAUCCAAGAUGAAAUGGGAAGACAUGAAGUUGGCCAUAUUGAAAACUCCAUGAAAUCACCUCUAAAUAAUGGCCAGGGCUGCUCGUUUGAAGGACAAUUUAGCAUAAAUAAGGUACCAGGCAAUUUCCACAUAUCUACGCACAGUGCAACUGCACAACCAGAUAAUCCAGAUAUGACUCAUGUAAUUAACAAACUGACAUUCGGAGAAAUGAUAGAGGU
Amblyraja radiata (thorny skate) is the source of this 260-nucleotide long non-coding RNA. RefSeq lists it as uncharacterized. The transcript is spliced from 2 exons. Lineage: Eukaryota; Metazoa; Chordata; Chondrichthyes; Rajiformes; Rajidae. The record is from RefSeq and is a predicted model, not a curated record.